RNAcentral lists this ribosomal RNA (427 nucleotides) under uncultured bacterium. Its description in RNAcentral is "partial 16S ribosomal RNA". It matches the Rfam family "Bacterial small subunit ribosomal RNA", at positions 355 to 774 of the family's 1533-position model. The record is from RNAcentral.
UGGGGAAUAUUGCACAAUGGGCGCAAGCCUGAUGCAGCCAUGCCGCGUGUAUGAAGAAGGCCUUCGGGUUGUAAAGUACUUUCAGCGGGGAGGAAGGGAGUAAAGUUAAUACCUUUGCUCAUUGACGUUACCCGCAGAAGAAGCACCGGCUAACUCCGUGCCAGCAGCCGCGGUAAUACGGAGGGUGCAAGCGUUAAUCGGAAUUACUGGGCGUAAAGCGCACGCAGGCGGUUUGUUAAGUCAGAUGUGAAAUCCCCGGGCUCAACCUGGGAACUGCAUCUGAUACUGGCAAGCUUGAGUCUUGUAGAGGGGGGUAGAAUUCCAGGUGUAGCGGUGAAAUGCGUAGAGAUCUGGAGGAAUACCGGUGGCGAAGGCGGCCCCCUGGACAAAGACUGACGCUCAGGUGCGAAAGCGUGGGGAGCAAACA